Long non-coding RNA from Sapajus apella (tufted capuchin), 252 nucleotides. RefSeq lists it as uncharacterized. NCBI's taxonomy places the organism in Eukaryota, Metazoa, Chordata, Mammalia, Primates, Cebidae. The record is from RefSeq and is a predicted model, not a curated record. The transcript is spliced from 2 exons.
AAUAUCUGACUUUAUUUUUUGUAUGUGUUUUUUUACUCUUUGGUAGAAUUAUGGAUUCAUCAACAGCUUCUACUGUAUGUUCUGACAACAAUGACAACGAUGGAGCUUGUGCCCCCAAACCCAAAGCCAUCAUCACAUUGGACGGAGCCCCUGCCUCAGGUUUGGUCACUUGAUCCUAUUUGAGGGGAAGAAAAGAUAUCUGUGACUCAUGAAGAGCAUGCAGGUGGUGGAAGGACUUGAGAAUUAGGAAAU